AUUGAACGCUGGCGGCAUACUUUACACAUGCAAGUCGAACGGUAACAGGGAGCUUGCUCCGCUGACGAGUGGCGAACGGGUGAGUAAUGCGUCGGAACGUGCCGAGUAGUGGGGGAUAACGCAGCGAAAGUUGUGCUAAUACCGCAUACGUACUGAGGUAGAAAGUGGGGGACCUUCGGGCCUCACGCUAUUCGAGCGGCCGACGUCUGAUUAGCUAGUAGGUGAGGUAAAGGCUCACCUAGGCGACGAUCAGUAGCGGGUCUGAGAGGAUGGUACGCUACACUGGGACGGAGACACGGCCCAGACUCCUACGGGAGGCAGCAGGGGGGAAUUUUGGACAAUGGGCGAAAGCCUGAUCCAGCCAUGCCGCGUGUCUGAAGAAGGCCUUCGGGUUGUAAAGGACUUUUGUCGGGGAGGAAAUCCCCAGCGUUAAUACCGCUGGGGGAUGACAGUACCUGAAGAAUAAGCACCGGCUAACUACGUGCCAGCCGCCGCAGUAA
RNAcentral lists this ribosomal RNA (500 nucleotides) under uncultured bacterium. RNAcentral describes it as "partial 16S ribosomal RNA". It matches the Rfam family "Bacterial small subunit ribosomal RNA", at positions 30 to 523 of the family's 1533-position model. The record is from RNAcentral.